This 2379-nucleotide ribosomal RNA is filed under the name Escherichia coli. Its description in RNAcentral is "partial 23S ribosomal RNA". It matches the Rfam family "Bacterial large subunit ribosomal RNA", at positions 433 to 2797 of the family's 2925-position model. Lineage: Bacteria; Pseudomonadati; Pseudomonadota; Gammaproteobacteria; Enterobacterales; Enterobacteriaceae. The record is from RNAcentral.
CCUGUCUGAAUAUGGGGGGACCAUCCUCCAAGGCUAAAUACUCCUGACUGACCGAUAGUGAACCAGUACCGUGAGGGAAAGGCGAAAAGAACCCCGGCGAGGGGAGUGAAAAAGAACCUGAAACCGUGUACGUACAAGCAGUGGGAGCCUCUUUAUGGGGUGACUGCGUACCUUUUGUAUAAUGGGUCAGCGACUUAUAUUCUGUAGCAAGGUUAACCGAAUAGGGGAGCCGAAGGGAAACCGAGUCUUAACUGGGCGUUAAGUUGCAGGGUAUAGACCCGAAACCCGGUGAUCUAGCCAUGGGCAGGUUGAAGGUUGGGUAACACUAACUGGAGGACCGAACCGACUAAUGUUGAAAAAUUAGCGGAUGACUUGUGGCUGGGGGUGAAAGGCCAAUCAAACCGGGAGAUAGCUGGUUCUCCCCGAAAGCUAUUUAGGUAGCGCCUCGUGAAUUCAUCUCCGGGGGUAGAGCACUGUUUCGGCAAGGGGGUCAUCCCGACUUACCAACCCGAUGCAAACUGCGAAUACCGGAGAAUGUUAUCACGGGAGACACACGGCGGGUGCUAACGUCCGUCGUGAAGAGGGAAACAACCCAGACCGCCAGCUAAGGUCCCAAAGUCAUGGUUAAGUGGGAAACGAUGUGGGAAGGCCCAGACAGCCAGGAUGUUGGCUUAGAAGCAGCCAUCAUUUAAAGAAAGCGUAAUAGCUCACUGGUCGAGUCGGCCUGCGCGGAAGAUGUAACGGGGCUAAACCAUGCACCGAAGCUGCGGCAGCGACACUAUGUGUUGUUGGGUAGGGGAGCGUUCUGUAAGCCUGUGAAGGUGGCCUGUGAGGGUUGCUGGAGGUAUCAGAAGUGCGAAUGCUGACAUAAGUAACGAUAAAGCGGGUGAAAAGCCCGCUCGCCGGAAGACCAAGGGUUCCUGUCCAACGUUAAUCGGGGCAGGGUGAGUCGACCCCUAAGGCGAGGCCGAAAGGCGUAGUCGAUGGGAAACAGGUUAAUAUUCCUGUACUUGGUGUUACUGCGAAGGGGGGACGGAGAAGGCUAUGUUGGCCGGGCGACGGUUGUCCCGGUUUAAGCGUGUAGGCUGGUUUUCCAGGCAAAUCCGGAAAACCAAGGCUGAGGCGUGAUGACGAGGCACUACGGUGCUGAAGCGACAAAUGCCCUGCUUCCAGGAAAAGCCUCUAAGCAUCAGGUAACAUCAAAUCGUACCCCAAACCGACACAGGUGGUCAGGUAGAGAAUACCAAGGCGCUUGAGAGAACUCGGGUGAAGGAACUAGGCAAAAUGGUGCCGUAACUUCGGGAGAAGGCACGCUGAUAUGUAGGUGAAGCGACUUGCUCGUGGAGCUGAAAUCAGUCGAAGAUACCAGCUGGCUGCAACUGUUUAUUAAAAACACAGCACUGUGCAAACACGAAAGUGGACGUAUACGGUGUGACGCCUGCCCGGUGCCGGAAGGUUAAUUGAUGGGGUUAGCGGUAACGCGAAGCUCUUGAUCGAAGCCCCGGUAAACGGCGGCCGUAACUAUAACGGUCCUAAGGUAGCGAAAUUCCUUGUCGGGUAAGUUCCGACCUGCACGAAUGGCGUAAUGAUGGCCAGGCUGUCUCCACCCGAGACUCAGUGAAAUUGAACUCGCUGUGAAGAUGCAGUGUACCCGCGGCAAGACGGAAAGACCCCGUGAACCUUUACUAUAGCUUGACACUGAACAUUGAGCCUUGAUGUGUAGGAUAGGUGGGAGGCUUUGAAGUGUGGACGCCAGUCUGCAUGGAGCCGACCUUGAAAUACCACCCUUUAAUGUUUGAUGUUCUAACGUUGGCCCGUAAUCCGGGUUGCGGACAGUGUCUGGUGGGUAGUUUGACUGGGGCGGUCUCCUCCUAAAGAGUAACGGAGGAGCACGAAGGUUGGCUAAUCCUGGUCGGACAUCAGGAGGUUAGUGCAAUGGCAUAAGCCAGCUUGACUGCGAGCGUGACGGCGCGAGCAGGUGCGAAAGCAGGUCAUAGUGAUCCGGUGGUUCUGAAUGGAAGGGCCAUCGCUCAACGGAUAAAAGGUACUCCGGGGAUAACAGGCUGAUACCGCCCAAGAGUUCAUAUCGACGGCGGUGUUUGGCACCUCGAUGUCGGCUCAUCACAUCCUGGGGCUGAAGUAGGUCCCAAGGGUAUGGCUGUUCGCCAUUUAAAGUGGUACGCGAGCUGGGUUUAGAACGUCGUGAGACAGUUCGGUCCCUAUCUGCCGUGGGCGCUGGAGAACUGAGGGGGGCUGCUCCUAGUACGAGAGGACCGGAGUGGACGCAUCACUGGUGUUCGGGUUGUCAUGCCAAUGGCACUGCCCGGUAGCUAAAUGCGGAAGAGAUAAGUGCUGAAAGCAUCUAAGCACGAAACUUGC